GAUGAACGCUGGCGGCGUGCCUAAUACAUGCAAGUCGAGCGAACAGACGAGGAGCUUGCUCCUCUGACGUUAGCGGCGGACGGGUGAGUAACACGUGGAUAACCUACCUAUAAGACUGGGAUAACUUCGGGAAACCGGAGCUAAUACCGGAUAAUAUAUUGAACCGCAUGGUUCAAUAGUGAAAGACGGUUUUGCUGUCACUUAUAGAUGGAUCCGCGCCGCAUUAGCUAGUUGGUAAGGUAACGGCUUACCAAGGCGACGAUGCGUAGCCGACCUGAGAGGGUGAUAGGCCACCCUGGAACUGAGACACGGUCCAGACUCCAACGGGAGGCAGCAGUAGGGAAUCUUCCGCAAUGGGCGAAAGCCUGACGUAGCAACGCCGCGUGAGUGAUGAAGGUCUUCGGAUCGUAAAACUCUGUUAUUAGGGAAGAACAAAUGUGUAAGUAACUAUGCACGUCUUGACGGUACCUAAUCAGAAAGCCACGGCUAACUACGUG
Molecule: ribosomal RNA, 497 nt
Filed under: uncultured bacterium
Lineage: Bacteria
Description: partial 16S ribosomal RNA
Rfam family: Bacterial small subunit ribosomal RNA
Source: RNAcentral